AACUGUAUUUUAAAUCUUGGUAGAAAUUUAGUUUUUAAAUAGUAAUAUGAAAUUCCUCUAAUUUAAAUUUCACUUUUAAAUUUUAAGUAUUUAAUUUUUAAAAUUUAAAUUCAUCGUAUUUAGAAAUAAAACUAUUUCUAAAAUUUCUAUAAUUUAAAUUAAUGCAUAAUUUGAGAAACACUAAAAUAUUUAAAGUAGAUUCCUAAAUUAAUGCCUAAUAAUUUCAUAAAUUUGGUUAAUCAAUUAAUUUUCUAAAUUAGUACUAAUUAAUGCAUAAAUUUAGGACCUCAAUUAAAAAUUUCUUUAAAUAUUGUAUUAUUUAAUUACCAAACUAACCUUGAAUAAAAUAAUCAUUUUACCUGCUAAGUAUUAAACUUAUAUUUUUACCCUCUAUUAAUCAACGGUUAAGAUUUUUUUUAUUUUUUUAAAAAAAAGUACCGAAUCAUUUCUCCCCUAAUAAUAAUAGCUAGGCUUAAGUAUUUUAGGCCGGUGAUUUUGGCUCACCAAAUUAUUAUUGUUAGUGAUCGAGUCAUUACAUUUGAUAUCGAAGCCGAUUCACCAGCUGAAAGUGUGAGAUAAGUUUUGGCCGAGUCAGGGUGGAAUGACAGAUUAAGAUAGGGUCGGUGAAUGACAGGCUGAAUUAGGAUCGGAAUGAGAAGACUAGUGAACAUCGUUCGAUUCGCUAGCUGAAAGUAUAGGAUAAGUUUUGACCGAGUCAGAAUCGAAAUGAUAUAUUAAGAUAGGAUCGGUGAAUGACAGACCAAGUCAGGAUCGAAAUGAUAAGAUUAGCGAACAUCGCUCGAAAUGACAGAUUAAGUCAGGAUGGAAAUGAUAAAACUAAUAAAAAUUGUCAGAUCACUGUGUGU
This 866-nucleotide long non-coding RNA is filed under the name Ananas comosus (pineapple). RNAcentral's name for it is "long non-coding RNA (ACOM_LNC022826)". The record is from RNAcentral. Lineage: Eukaryota; Viridiplantae; Streptophyta; Magnoliopsida; Poales; Bromeliaceae.